ACAUCAGUAGCUCAAUUGGUAGAGCAGUGGAUUCCAAAUCCACCGGUUGGGGGUUCGAGUCCUCCCUGAUGUG
This 73-nucleotide transfer RNA is filed under the name bacterium AH-315-I18. Its description in RNAcentral is "tRNA-Trp". It matches the Rfam family "tRNA". From Rfam's summary of the family: Transfer RNA (tRNA) molecules are approximately 80 nucleotides in length. Their secondary structure includes four short double-helical elements and three loops (D, anti-codon, and T loops). The record is from RNAcentral.